Molecule: long non-coding RNA, 2511 nt
Filed under: Chrysolophus pictus (golden pheasant)
Lineage: Eukaryota; Metazoa; Chordata; Aves; Galliformes; Phasianidae
Description: lncRNA (ENSCPIG00010014696.1)
Source: RNAcentral
UUCUCCCAGUGCCCUCCCCCCACCUCCCACCCACCGCCCUCCCAGUUCCUUCCAUUUCCUCCCAGUUCCUCCCAGUUCUUUCCCAACGCGGCCUCCCAGUCCCUCCCAGUUGCCCCCAGUGACUCCCAGUUCCUUCUUGCGCCACACCAGCGCCUCCCACUGCCUUCCCAGUUCCGCCCAGUACCUUCCAGUGACCCCAGUCCCCUCCGGCUCCCUCCCAGUAAACCCAUUGUGUCCCUCCCAGUUGCCUCCCAGUUGCUUCCUCCUUCCUCCCCGCGCCCCACCGCUGCGCUCCCAGUGCUCCCAGUUCCUUCCCAGUCCCUUCCCAGCGCCCUCCCAGUGCCUCCCAGUGUCCCCAGUUCACCUGUGGCUCCCUCCCAGUGCCCUCCAGCGCCUCCCAGUGCCUCCUCUUUGGGGGCCCAGGAGGACCACCUGGUGGGGGUGGCGUUUCUUCUGGCAGCUGUGCCCCCCCACGAUCCGGUUCUCGUCCCCCGUGGCCGCUGGGGGGGCAGAGGAACAGCUCAGCCCUCCCACUUCCUCCCACUUCCUCCCUCUUCCUCCUGGAUCCUCCCAUUUACUCCCAAUUCCUCCUGCAUCCUCCAAUUUUCUCCCAGUUCCUCCCAGUUCCUCCUGCAUCCUCCAAUUUACUCCCAGUUCCUCCAAUUUCCUCCCAGUUCCUCCCAGUUCCUCCUGGAUCCUCCAGUUUCCUCCCAGUUCCUCCUGGAUGCUCCAAUUUCCUCCAAUUUCCUCCCAAUUCCUCCUGGAUCCUCCACUUUCCUCCCAGUUCCUCCCAGUUCCUCCUGGAUCCUCCAGUUUCCUCCCAGUUCCUCCAGUUUCCUCCCAGUUCCUCCCAGUUCCUCCUGGAUCCUCCAGUUUCCUCCCAGUUCCUCCAGUUUCCUCCCAGUUCCUCCCAGUUCCUCCUGGAUCCUCCACUUUCCUCCCAGUUCCUCCAGUUUCCUCCCAGUUCCUCCCAGUUCCUCCUGCAUCCUCCAAUUUCCUCCAAUUUCCUCCCAGUUCCUCCUGCAUCCUCCAAUUUCCUCCCAGUUCCUCCCAGAUCCUCCCAUUUCCUCCCAGUUCCUUUCAGAUCCUCCCAGUUCAUCCCAGUUCUUCCUGGAUCUUUCCAGUUCCUCCCAGUUCAUCCCAGAUCCUCCUGGAUUCUCCCAGUUCAUUCCAGUUCCUUCCAGAUCACUCCAGUUCCUCCCAGUUCCUCCCAGUUCCUCCUGGAUCUUUCCAGUUCCUUCCAGUUCUUCCCAGUUCCUUCCCAGUUCCUCCCCAGUUCCUCCUGGCUCUUCCCAAUUCCUCCUGGCUCCGACCAGUUCCUUCCAGUUCAUCCCAGUAUACCCAGUUUCUUCCCUUUCCUCCCAGUUCCUCCCAGUUCCUUCCCAGUUCCUCCUGGCUUAUCCCAAUUCCUCCUGGUUCCGACCAGUUCCUUCCAGUUCCUCCCAGUUUGUUCCAGUUCCUCCCAGUUCCUCCCCAGUUUCCCCCAUCUCCCCCCCCAGUUCCUCCCGGUUCCUCCCAGUUCCUCCCAGUUCCCUCCAUUUCCUCCCAGUGCCUCCCAGUUCUUCCCAGUUCCCCGCAGUCCCUUCCAUUCUCUCCCAGUUCCUUCCAGUUCAUCCCAAUACUUCCCAGUUCCUCCCAGUUCCUCCCAAUCCCUCCCAGUUCAUCCCAGUUCAUCCCAAUCCUCCCCAGUCCCUACCAGUUCCUCCCAGUUCCCCCAGUUCCCCCCUUCCUCCGUAUCCCAGUACAUCAGUGCUCCCAGUAUAUCCCAGUGCUCCCAGUACAUCCCAGUAUAUCCCAGUGUUCUGAGAAUAUCCCAGUAUAUCCCAGUAUAUCCCAGUACAUCAGUGCUCCCAGUAUAUCCCAGUAUAUCCCAGUACAUCAGUGCUUCCAAUAUACCCCAGUGCUCCCAGUAUAUCCCAGUAUAUCCCAGUGCAUCAGUGCUCCCAGUAUAUCCCAGUACUCCCAUUACAUCCCAAUACCUCCCAGCGCUGCGGUGCUCCCAGUGCUCCCAGCACAUCCCAGUAUAUCCCAGUAUAUCCCAGUACAUCAGUGCUCCCAGUAUAUCCCAGUAUAUCCCAGUACAUCAGUGCUUCCAAUAUACCCCAGUGCUCCCAGUAUAUCCCAGUAUAUCCCAGUGCAUCAGUGCUCCCAGUAUAUCCCAGUACUCCCAUUACAUCCCAAUACCUCCCAGCGCUGCGGUGCUCCCAGUGCUCCCAGCACAUCCCAGUAUAUCCCAGUAUAUCCCAGUACAUCAGUGCUUCCAAUAUACCCCAGUGCUCCCAGUAUAUCCCAGUAUAUCCCAGUGCAUCAGUGCUCCCAGUAUAUCCCAGUACUCCCAUUACAUCCCAAUACCUCCCAGCGCUGCGGUGCUCCCAGUGCUCCCAGCACAUCCCAGUAUAUCCCAGUAUAUCCCAGUAUAUCCCAGUAUAUCCCAGUAUAUCCCAGUAUAUCCCAGUAUAUCCCAGUAUAUCCCAGUAUAUCCCAGUAUAUCCCAGUAUAUCCCAGUAUAUC